GGGGGCGAACGACGCACCCAGCGUGAGGUCGCCGAGGUCGCCGGCGUGACCGAGGUCACGAUCAGGAACAGAUAUAAGGAACUGGCUGAAAAGUUAGAUAUCGAGAUAAUCCUCUAAUCUUUUUAUUUCGGGCUCGUAGAUCAGGGGUAGAUCGUUACGUUCGCAACGUAAAGGCCGCGGGUUCAAUUCCCGCCGGGUCCAUC
This 203-nucleotide transfer RNA is filed under the name Methanosphaerula palustris E1-9c. RNAcentral describes it as "tmRNA". The stretch from base 130 to 201 matches the Rfam family "tRNA". The record is from RNAcentral. Lineage: Archaea; Methanobacteriati; Methanobacteriota; Methanomicrobia; Methanomicrobiales; Methanoregulaceae.